Ornithorhynchus anatinus (platypus) is the source of this 139-nucleotide non-coding RNA. The record is from Rfam. Lineage: Eukaryota; Metazoa; Chordata; Mammalia; Monotremata; Ornithorhynchidae.
CCCCUCUCAGGAUCUCACCUGGAGAGUUUUUGGUAUUCUACCAGUCUCGGGCUACAGGAGGGAUAAUCAAGCAGGGGCCUACCCAUUCCAUUCCUAGCUUGGACAGUGGCUAGUGAGUGGAAGGCAAUCUGCUACAGGU